Molecule: ribosomal RNA, 2311 nt
Filed under: Escherichia coli
Lineage: Bacteria; Pseudomonadati; Pseudomonadota; Gammaproteobacteria; Enterobacterales; Enterobacteriaceae
Description: partial 23S ribosomal RNA
Rfam family: Bacterial large subunit ribosomal RNA
Source: RNAcentral
CGGGACACGUGGUAUCCUGUCUGAAUAUGGGGGGACCAUCCUCCAAGGCUAAAUACUCCUGACUGACCGAUAGUGAACCAGUACCGUGAGGGAAAGGCGAAAAGAACCCCGGCGAGGGGAGUGAAAAAGAACCUGAAACCGUGUACGUACAAGCAGUGGGAGCACGCUUAGGCGUGUGACUGCGUACCUUUUGUAUAAUGGGUCAGCGACUUAUAUUCUGUAGCAAGGUUAACCGAAUAGGGGAGCCGAAGGGAAACCGAGUCUUAACUGGGCGUUAAGUUGCAGGGUAUAGACCCGAAACCCGGUGAUCUAGCCAUGGGCAGGUUGAAGGUUGGGUAACACUAACUGGAGGACCGAACCGACUAAUGUUGAAAAAUUAGCGGAUGACUUGUGGCUGGGGGUGAAAGGCCAAUCAAACCGGGAGAUAGCUGGUUCUCCCCGAAAGCUAUUUAGGUAGCGCCUCGUGAAUUCAUCUCCGGGGGUAGAGCACUGUUUCGGCAAGGGGGUCAUCCCGACUUACCAACCCGAUGCAAACUGCGAAUACCGGAGAAUGUUAUCACGGGAGACACACGGCGGGUGCUAACGUCCGUCGUGAAGAGGGAAACAACCCAGACCGCCAGCUAAGGUCCCAAAGUCAUGGUUAAGUGGGAAACGAUGUGGGAAGGCCCAGACAGCCAGGAUGUUGGCUUAGAAGCAGCCAUCAUUUAAAGAAAGCGUAAUAGCUCACUGGUCGAGUCGGCCUGCGCGGAAGAUGUAACGGGGCUAAACCAUGCACCGAAGCUGCGGCAGCGACGCUGAUGCGUUGUUGGGUAGGGGAGCGUUCUGUAAGCCUGUGAAGGUGUGCUGUGAGGCAUGCUGGAGGUAUCAGAAGUGCGAAUGCUGACAUAAGUAACGAUAAAGCGGGUGAAAAGCCCGCUCGCCGGAAGACCAAGGGUUCCUGUCCAACGUUAAUCGGGGCAGGGUGAGUCGACCCCUAAGGCGAGGCCGAAAGGCGUAGUCGAUGGGAAACAGGUUAAUAUUCCUGUACUUGGUGUUACUGCGAAGGGGGGACGGAGAAGGCUAUGUUGGCCGGGCGACGGUUGUCCCGGUUUAAGCGUGUAGGCUGGUUUUCCAGGCAAAUCCGGAAAAUCAAGGCUGAGGCGUGAUGACGAGGCACUACGGUGCUGAAGCAACAAAUGCCCUGCUUCCAGGAAAAGCCUCUAAGCAUCAGGUAACAUCAAAUCGUACCCCAAACCGACACAGGUGGUCAGGUAGAGAAUACCAAGGCGCUUGAGAGAACUCGGGUGAAGGAACUAGGCAAAAUGGUGCCGUAACUUCGGGAGAAGGCACGCUGAUAUGUAGGUGAAGCGACUUGCUCGUGGAGCUGAAAUCAGUCGAAGAUACCAGCUGGCUGCAACUGUUUAUUAAAAACACAGCACUGUGCAAACACGAAAGUGGACGUAUACGGUGUGACGCCUGCCCGGUGCCGGAAGGUUAAUUGAUGGGGUCAGCGCAAGCGAAGCUCUUGAUCGAAGCCCCGGUAAACGGCGGCCGUAACUAUAACGGUCCUAAGGUAGCGAAAUUCCUUGUCGGGUAAGUUCCGACCUGCACGAAUGGCGUAAUGAUGGCCAGGCUGUCUCCACCCGAGACUCAGUGAAAUUGAACUCGCUGUGAAGAUGCAGUGUACCCGCGGCAAGACGGAAAGACCCCGUGAACCUUUACUAUAGCUUGACACUGAACAUUGAGCCUUGAUGUGUAGGAUAGGUGGGAGGCUUUGAAGUGUGGACGCCAGUCUGCAUGGAGCCGGCCUUGAAAUACCACCCUUUAAUGUUUGAUGUUCUAACGUUGACCCGUGAUCCGGGUUGCGGACAGUGUCUGGUGGGUAGUUUGACUGGGGCGGUCUCCUCCUAAAGAGUAACGGAGGAGCACGAAGGUUGGCUAAUCCUGGUCGGACAUCAGGAGGUUAGUGCAAUGGCAUAAGCCAGCUUGACUGCGAGCGUGACGGCGCGAGCAGGUGCGAAAGCAGGUCAUAGUGAUCCGGUGGUUCUGAAUGGAAGGGCCAUCGCUCAACGGAUAAAAGGUACUCCGGGGAUAACAGGCUGAUACCGCCCAAGAGUUCAUAUCGACGGCGGUGUUUGGCACCUCGAUGUCGGCUCAUCACAUCCUGGGGCUGAAGUAGGUCCCAAGGGUAUGGCUGUUCGCCAUUUAAAGUGGUACGCGAGCUGGGUUUAGAACGUCGUGAGACAGUUCGGUCCCUAUCUGCCGUGGGCGCUGGAGAACUGAGGGGGGCUGCUCCUAGUACGAGAGGACCGGAGUGGACGCAUCACUGGUG